Molecule: long non-coding RNA, 2352 nt
Organism: Phasianus colchicus (ring-necked pheasant)
Lineage: Eukaryota; Metazoa; Chordata; Aves; Galliformes; Phasianidae
Source: RefSeq, a predicted model, not a curated record
CUGCUCUGCUGGAGUUUCACAAGAGAGCCCUGGAUAUGGACUGAAAGCCACAUUAUUUCUCUUAAACAUGGAUGUUCCCAGAAGAAAUACAGGAAUGGUAUGACAGCAUCCAGAAAAUGCAAACUGAGAAACUCAACUAGACAAGUAAAACUUCUGGCCAAAACUAAGUCAAUGGGUGAAUUUAACACUCCUCUGUGGCAGAAUGUAGCAAACUGUAAAAGCCUUGAAUCUGGGCAGAAGCUAAAGAGGACCUAUAGAUGAUGGCAAAGAUACCAGGCAGGGCCACCCAGAACCCUCUAAGAAGAACUGUGGCCACCAGUGAUUCCAGAGAGGCCUUCAGGGCACUGACCCAAUGCAACACUUGGUUCCUGAAAUCCACUCAGUGAGACAACCAAAGACAACCACAGAGAUCCAGACAAAUGCAGACAACACAAGCUAACUUGAGCAGUCAUUCAGAAAAUGAAAGGCUCAUGAUUUAUCUAAUGUGAUACUUCAUAUUUGAGUAAGGAAGACCUCCUCACUUUAAAAUAAAAGUAUUUUCAGGAUAGGAACAGGCUACAAGUUUCAGGAAAUUAUUGCCUCCAGCUGCAAGUAAUCAUCUUCCCAGCCUAUACCAGUAACUACAUGCACUCUUACAUCUCUGUUGCUCUGGCAAGUAAAGCAGGCUUUUGCAAAGCACUUUAAAAUGCUGACAGGUACUUAAAAUAGGAAUGUGGUUUAAAUGAACCAGUAUUAUUUGUACUAAAGUAGACUGUAAUGGAGUACAAUGCACACAUCCAGUUAUUAGGUUGCAGCUGAGAAAUUCUUACAUCACGCUAACAUAACUGCUUCUGAUCACCUGCCUAAAUCUCAAGACCAGCUAAGGAAACCAGUUCACCUCAAUUCAGGCUUUAAAAUAGAUUCUGCUUGGUUUGUGACUGAAGUGAUACUUUAUGAGUGGAAAUCUAAUGUGUAAGAACUACCAAGAAUCUUCACAACUCUCCUUUUUUGUAAUUUCCUCAACAGAAUACUUUGACAAGUGCUGAAUAAGAUACCUGUUUUUUUAUUCCUUGGCAUACAGAUCAGUAUCUUCUAUUACUGAAGUCUCAGACCCUAGUGAAUCAUGUAAGAUACACCCCUGUGAUCCUGCUGCUGCUGCUCCUACCAUCAGCUGAUGACAUCUGUGUGAGAGAGACAAGGAGUGCGUGAGAACAGCUUUUCUUGCACCAGCUGCCUGUGUUGUGUUGCUGCCACUGCUCCACCAACACCAGUUCCCCAUCCUCCCAGGGUUUGGGGAAGAAAGAUUACACUUCCAAUUUGCCAACACUGAUGGAAGACUGAGAACUCAAAGGUCACAGUCCUCUGAAGUCAGUGUAGCAGAGGUUAUUGAUAUUGUGCUUAGAAAGCCUGAGCUGAACUGGAUAACCCAAUUCAAAAAGAGAGAAAUGCAGCAAUAUCUACAUGACAAAUGCCUAAUGCUUUUUGUAACAAUUUGAGAAAUAUCUUUGCUAGAAGGGACAUCAUCAGAGAACAAUUUCAUACUAUGCUUUCUUCUGCUCUACAAACACAGUGUUGCAGCUGAUGGACCUUGUAAGUUCAGGCUGGUAACUGUGCUUGUGUGCAUUCUCACUGACCACUGAGAGGGUCUUUGCAAGAAGGAAUGCAUUUACUCACAGAUGCAGUCAGCAAAUCUAGACUAAAGACUGUAAUGUAUAUCCAGCUGAAGGUUUUUUACUUGCAGGAAAAAAUAUAUACAUGAUCUUAUAUAUGAUAAGCAAAUUUUCAGAUCAAAUAAAAUAAAUCAUUUUAAAAAAAUAAAGAAAACAUUUUCAUGAUGUAAAAAUACCUUGAUGCUUUAAGACCUUUGAGUCUUCUUUGUGGAUUCACAAAUGUUUUUUCUUAAUAGAUGUAUGAACUGUAUCUGAUGUGCUUCAAAAGCAGCACUUCUAUGUGAUAUGAAUAUGGCAAAAACAAAAACCCACAAAUCUUUCACCUAGAAUGGUGAAACUGUACCAAGUUUUGAGAGCUCUGAUUCUGUUUAAAAGAUGAAUAGGCUCUACCAUGCUUAAAUUGUAACAGUAAGUAUCUGAAUGUGCCUAAUGUCAGAAGAAACAAGUGACAGCCAGUGGUAAACUGGUCUUGAUUUCUAGAAAUCAAGACCAAUAAAUACAUGGUAAUCAUCUCACAUUUCUUUAUUUACACUACUUCAUUCCUCAUCUGUACUUCAGUGCACUAGAUACUACAUUUCAUUUAAGAACUGGUUCCUUUAAGUAGGAAUUUUAAUAGCAUUCUGGGGACACACUUUAUUAAUCAUUAAUAUACAUUUUUAUUACAUUGGAAUUAAAGCUGUUCUUAUACACUUUUCCCUCACUU